AGUGAACGCUGGCGGUAGGCCUAACACAUGCAAGUCGAACGGCAGCACAGUAAGAGCUUGCUCUUACGGGUGGCGAGUGGCGGACGGGUGAGGAAUACAUCGGAAUCUACUUUUUCGUGGGGGAUAACGUAGGGAAACUUACGCUAAUACCGCAUACGACCUACGGGUGAAAGCAGGGGAUCUUCGGACCUUGCGCGAUUGAAUGAGCCGAUGUCGGAUUAGCUAGUUGGCGGGGUAAAGGCCCACCAAGGCGACGAUCCGUAGCUGGUCUGAGAGGAUGAUCAGCCACACUGGAACUGAGACACGGUCCAGACUCCUACGGGAGGCAGCAGUGGGGAAUAUUGGACAAUGGGCGCAAGCCUGAUCCAGCCAUACCGCGUGGGUGAAGAAGGCCUUCGGGUUGUAAAGCCCUUUUGUUGGGAAAGAAAAGCAGCAGGCUAAUACCCCGCUGUUCUGACGGUACCCAAAGAAUAGGCACCGGCUAACUUCGUG
This 492-nucleotide ribosomal RNA is filed under the name uncultured bacterium. Its description in RNAcentral is "partial 16S ribosomal RNA". It matches the Rfam family "Bacterial small subunit ribosomal RNA", at positions 29 to 507 of the family's 1533-position model. The record is from RNAcentral.